UAUAUGACAGCAUAGUGUAUUUUGAUUAAUUGUACACAACUGCAGCACAACUUUACACUUCUAUGGUUGUACAUGAUGUAGUGUUACACCAAGUUCUGAUGAUCUUGGUUAAACAUUAAAAUGUUGCUUUCAAUUAGCAAUAGCUAAAUUAUGAAUGGAUUAAGAAAUUAUAUAUAUAUAUGUGUGUGUAUAUAUAUAUAUACACAUAUACAUAUAUAUAUACACACACACACACAUACACAAUGGAGUUCUACUUAGAUAUAAAGAAGAAUGGAAUUAUGGCAUUUGUUGGUAAAUGGAUGAAAAUGGAGAAUAUCUUGCCAAGUGAAAUAAGCCAAUCUCAAAUUCAAAGGUCGAAUAUUUUCUCAUAUGCAGAAGCUAGAAUAAAAUAAACCAAAGGGGCUGGAAAGAAUAGGAUAUCAUAAAGAUAAAGGAAGAUUAGUAGUAUAGAAAAAGGGAGAUUGAGAGAGAUGGAAAAGUGAAGGUAAUGCAGAAUGAACUCUUUUAAAAAUCAUGUGCAUAUAUAAAUAUACCAUAGGGAAUUUCACCUUUAUAAGUAAAAAGAACCAAUCAAAAAUAAAUAAAUAGACAAAUGAAAGGAAGUCUAGCAGGGUAGAGGAAGGAGAAUGAGGGAGGGAAAGGAGGCAGGAGGGUAGAGGGAAUCGUGAUCUGAAAUCAAAUUCCAUGCAUGUAUGAGUUUGUCGGGAUGAACAUAACUACUUUGUAUAACUACAAAGCGCUAAUAAAAUAAGAGUGUGAGUGCUUUGGAAACUUUCUACAAAUACUCUCAUUCUGGAAAACAAUCCAGCUUUGAUAUAGAUUAUAUAAGAAUGUACUUAUUGGUGAAGUAUACCUUUGGAUGGAUAUAUUUCUACUUAACCAAUAAUAUUCUUUCCCUCCCUCCCUUCCUCCCUUCCUUCCUUCCUUUCAUUUUUUUUUUUUUU
RNAcentral lists this long non-coding RNA (944 nucleotides) under Marmota monax (woodchuck). The record is from RNAcentral. Lineage: Eukaryota; Metazoa; Chordata; Mammalia; Rodentia; Sciuridae.